Molecule: ribosomal RNA, 496 nt
Filed under: uncultured bacterium
Lineage: Bacteria
Description: partial 16S ribosomal RNA
Rfam family: Bacterial small subunit ribosomal RNA
Source: RNAcentral
AUGAACGCUGGCGGCGUGCCUCAUACAUGCAAGUCGAGCGAACAGACGAGGAGCUUGCUCCUCUGACGUUAGCGGCGGACGGGUGAGUAACACGUGGAUAACCUACCUAUAAGACUGGGAUAACUUCGGGAAACCGGAGCUAAUACCGGAUAAUAUAUUGAACCGCAUGGUUCCAUAGUGAAAGACGGUUUUGCUGUCACUUAUAGAUGGAUCCGCGCCGCAUUAGCUAGUUGGUAAGGUAACGGCUUACCAAGGCAACGAUGCGUAGCCGACCUGAGAGGGUGAUCGGCCACACUGGAACUGAGACACGGUCCAGACUCCUACGGGAGGCAGCAGUAGGGAAUCUUCCGCAAUGGGCGAAAGCUUGACGGAGCAACGCCGCGUGAGUGAUGAAGGUCUUCGGAUCGUAAAACUCUGUUAUUAGGGAAGAACAAAUGUGUAAGUAACUAUGCACGUCUUGACGGUACCUAAUCAGAAAGCCACGGCUAACUACGUG